RNAcentral lists this long non-coding RNA (264 nucleotides) under Musa acuminata (dwarf banana). RNAcentral describes it as "long non-coding RNA (MACU_LNC006989)". The record is from RNAcentral. Lineage: Eukaryota; Viridiplantae; Streptophyta; Magnoliopsida; Zingiberales; Musaceae.
UCCUCCACCUUUGAUUUUGUUCGCUCCUUUGGCAAUCGACCUUCAUCCACCCACUCUUGGGUCACACCUAGAUGAAGCACCGCUCUAGGACAGUCCGUCGCCUAGUAGCUCCCGAAGUCCACCGACUUCACUGUAAUUUGUGCACCAUUGUCUGGAUCCUGGGCCUCUGCCCCUACCAGCACAAUCUCCGCUGCGCACCGCUUCCUUCAUGGCAACUUGAAUGACAACACUGUGGCAUAUUCUUCAAGAGUACCCGCCUUUGCG